GUUCAUUAUAUGUGAAGUUUAUUUGGAAAAAUGAAAAGAAUUGUUGCCCUACAGAAGAACUUGGUAGUGACGUCUGCAGAGAGGUGCUGGGCAUCUUGUUUAAAUUCCUUGUGACUUAGGGCUAUGGAACUGAGCCAAAACCAGCAUCACGGCUGCCCCUAGUCACAUUGCUGCAGUUUGAAACACCUGUCUAAAGAACAACGUAGAGCUCAUCAUACAGAAGUGAGCCAGCUAUCUCUGCCAGACGGAAUAGAGUUCUAGCAUCUGUGUCUUCAGGCCAAAUGAUGUAUGAUCCAGUUUGAUUUAAUUUACUUAUCAUUCACAUUGGAGGGAAUUCAGAAUACGAAGAUAGAACAGGCCCUGAGUAAAGAAAGGAAGAUGCAGAGUGCCCUGCGAAGAACUUGUCACCAGACAGCAAAGGUUGUGUCUCAAGCUUCAGUGCAAGUGUGGCCAGUAUGGGUCCCAAAAAGUCAAGAUGGCUCCUGACAGCAGUAAUCAGGUACAGGGAUGCGCAGUGAUGGGGAAUCAAAGGCAUCUAGCCUAGUGCCGAAGUUUACAUUCUUACCAGCUAUGAGAUCUGAUGUGCCACUUAAUCUCUCUGUCCUUUAGUUUCCUAAUCUUUAAAAUGGACAGACAAUUUAAAAAAUAAUUUAAACAGUUCCUGAAGUAUUACAAAAGUGAUUAUUGAUGACAAUGAUUAUUUAUGAGAGCACCAGGACAUGGGAAAUGUAGAUUAUAUAUUCUACAGGAUAUAUAAUCCUAUAUAUCCUGCCAGGACAGAAAGAAUAAUGUGGAGGAGAAAUAUUGAAUUGACAGCAUAUUUACCUAGAUGGAAUGGAAUUAAAACUAGAAGAAACUGAAUGUACUUUGGAUUGGUAAGAUUAAGUUUCCGGACAGCAGACGAAAUGGAUGUCUAUAAAUCCAUUUUUCACAAGUGGGUCAAAGUGUCUAUAAAUUCAUAUCUUGCUGGAUAAUUAGAUAAUUCCCUUUUAAAAAUAACAUGUGGUUAUAGUGAACCAGACACAAAUACAGGAUUUAUUGGCAAGAACUAAUUGAUUCUAAUUAGUUUGAUACCUAAUUUGGUUUUAUGUUUCUCUCUUUGCGUUUUACCUCCAAAUUGAAGACUCUUUACCUUAACAGCUUAUACAGCAUAAUCUGUUAAACAUUUCUGGAAAAAGAAAUGUAUCAUUCCCUUUGAAAGUUAUUCAUUCC
RNAcentral lists this long non-coding RNA (1212 nucleotides) under Macaca mulatta (Rhesus monkey). RNAcentral's name for it is "lncRNA (ENSMMUG00000063434.1)". The record is from RNAcentral. Lineage: Eukaryota; Metazoa; Chordata; Mammalia; Primates; Cercopithecidae.